CCUACGGGAGGCAGCAGUGGGGAAUCUUAGACAAUGGGCGCAAGCCUGAUCUAGCCAUGCCGCGUGUGUGAUGAAGGCCCUAGGGUCGUAAAGCACUUUCGCCAGGGAUGAUAAUGACAGUACCUGGUAAAGAAACCCCGGCUAACUCCGUGCCAGCAGCCGCGGUAAUACGGAGGGGGUUAGCGUUGUUCGGAAUUACUGGGCGUAAAGCGUACGUAGGCGGAUCAGAAAGUUGGGGGUGAAAUCCCAGGGCUCAACCCUGGAACUGCCUCCAAAACUCCUGGUCUUGAGUUCGAGAGAGGUGAGUGGAAUUCCAAGUGUAGAGGUGAAAUUCGUAGAUAUUUGGAGGAACACCAGUGGCGAAGGCGGCUCACUGGCUCGAUACUGACGCUGAGGUACGAAAGUGUGGGGAGCAAACAGGAUUAGAUACCCUGGUAGUCCACACCGUAAACGAUGAAUGCCAGUCGUCGGGCAGUAUACUGUUCGGUGACACACCUAACGGAUUAAGCAUUCCGCCUGGGGAGUACGGUCGCAAGAUUAAAACUCAAAUGAAUUGACGGA
This 561-nucleotide ribosomal RNA is filed under the name uncultured bacterium. Its description in RNAcentral is "bacterial SSU rRNA". It matches the Rfam family "Bacterial small subunit ribosomal RNA", at positions 338 to 917 of the family's 1533-position model. The record is from RNAcentral.